GUGCUUAAUAACCUCCAUGAACAGUAUCAGUGUGGUUCCUUCCCCUUUUGGAGACCACUGCCUGGAAUUUGGACAGCCCCAUGCUGCACUAAGAGGCAUUUAUUUACAGGAUGGGACGACUUCUGCUUUCUUGUAAUUGGUUGGGCCAUGAGCUCUGGCUGACUGGGCUCCCAGAUGGCUUCAGUUUUCCUUUGAGUUUCCAUUAAAUAAUGCCAUAAUUGUUAGCUUGAGAGGAUGUUGAACACAGUCCCUGCUAACUGCCAAACCACCCUUGUAGGAAGCCAAGGAUGUUUGAGGAGCCACAGAACCUUCCCUGUCCGGUGUGGAGAGAGAGCUGAGAGUGAGAAGAGGAUCAGCAGGGUGUGCUUUCUUUCAAUUUACUUAUGAUCUUACCUGGUCCUGGCACACCUUUUUUGUUGUUGUUGUUGUUGUUGUUGUUGUUGUUUUGGUACCGGGAUCAAACUCGGGUCCUUGUGCUUGCACAGCAGGUGGUGAAACCACUGAGCUAAAUCCCCAGCCCUGUUGUUGUUUGUUUUUUGUUACAAGGUCUUGCUAUGUGGUUCAGGCUGGCCUUCAACUCACUAUGUAGCACAGGCUGGACUCAAAUUUGCAGAGAUCCUCCUGUCUCAGCCUCCCAAGUGCUAGGAUUACAGAAAAGAAAACUGAGCCUGGAAGUUUAUCAAGGCAAGAUAGAAACAAUCCAGCCAUGUAACCUCCAGGUCAGUUCUCUGCACCUGGCUGCUAUUGCCUGAGUCUCAGAGGCUGGGAGAGAGGAAACACAGACAUCUGUCGGGGUGGGGUUCCGGGGCUAUCACUGUCCUGACUGGUGUCACAGUGUACCAUCUCCAAAGCUCUGCAGUUAGGGUCAGAGGGACUGUUCUGCCUAGCCCUGCAGGUGGCCCUGGUACCUGCUGCCUCCCGCUUCCCAAGUCCCCCACUGCCUGGGCAGGGUGCCAUCUCCACAAGGCAGAUCACAUCCAUUUGAUCUCAAACACCAGCACAAUCGGGUCUGAAAUGACAGCUCGCAGCUGGUGAUGUCAUGCUGUUCUGCUUGCCUCCAAGGACUGGGGAUCCAAUUUCAGAAGUGAAGAAAAUGGUCGGGGGGGAAAAAAUUACUUCAUUUGGAAAAUUCCGUAAAACCAUAAAUACAGUUGGAGCUGAUGGAAGCCACACCCGCUGGCAGACAAUGGCUUUGGGGUGGAGGAAAGGACCUCCCUCUGGGAGGCUGGGCCCCUUCCCACCACCCACUGCCAGACAGCUCUGCCUCCUUCCCCAGCAGAUGGACACAUGCUUACUUCGGGCAAGAUGGGCAACACUUGCCCUCCUCCCUGAGAGCCUCUCCAUACCCAGGGCAAGCUGGCUGGGAGCGCAUUUUCCCUGGCUGAAUCCUGUCUCCAGCCCAGAGUCCCUCCUGGAGCAGCCAGCACAAUUAUGCCCACUUUCCUCUCUGAAAUGGUUGACCUGCAUUUCUGAGUUGCUGGUAAAAUAAAUUAAAAGUAACAUUUUGCUUUGUUGUUUUCAUUUCUUAUUCCAUUUCCAGCCAUGUGAUGUCUUAUGAAUCCCUUUUUGCUUUUCUUACUCCACCUCAACAGUCAGCACAGUGAGAGAGAGGCAGAAAGCCAAGGGUGAAACCUAUUAAGCUGGCCAUGAGAGCUCUGAGUGUAACUCCUAGCUCCGAGCCUCAGCCCUGAGCCAGGGAGGGACAGUCACUGCCCAGAAAGACCAGGGGCAGAGAGCUAAGAUCCAGGAGCAAUUUCAAGAGAUGUUGGAUUUAAUAAUAUAAAAAGAGUAUGGUAAGAUUACAGAAUCUUGGACAAUGGGAGAAAGUCUCCCUAACUCAACCCCUCCUUCCAUCAUGGCUUCCAGAUUUCAGUCACUGAGCCACUCAUUUGGUCUUCCCUUUUUCCUGUGGUGUCCCUGGACCCCACCCCCACCCAGCCUCCAGGA
RNAcentral lists this long non-coding RNA (1947 nucleotides) under Heterocephalus glaber (naked mole-rat). RNAcentral's name for it is "lncRNA (ENSHGLG00000048794.1)". Lineage: Eukaryota; Metazoa; Chordata; Mammalia; Rodentia; Bathyergidae. The record is from RNAcentral.